GAGCAAGAAUUCUAAGACACUACAAAUGAAGUGACCCUCUCUUCCGAUCUCAUUCCAUUUUCUUUUUGAAAACAGUAGUCUAGUGAUUAUAAACAUCAGACUGCUUUCUCCUCAUUUCCUUUUCUUGACAGGCUUUUUGCAGAGGUUGAAGUUUGAAGGUCUAAUUGUAUUUUCACUUCUAACAUAUGAAAAACCUAUGUAUGUAAAGGAAGUUUUAAGAAAAAAAACUGAAAAAACAUGGAAUUCUAAUAAACUAAGAUUGGUUUUCUGAUUAUCAGUACUAAACUGUCCUGGUUUCAAUUGGGACAGAGUUAAUUUCUUCUCAGUACCUGUUGCAGUGCUGUGUUUUGGAUUUGGAAUAAGAAUGAUGUUGAUAGCUCACUGAUGUUAUAGUUUUUUACUGAGUUGUGUUUAUCCUAAGUCCAAGACUAUGUUUUUUGUCUUGUCUCAUGCUCUGCCAGUGAGGAAGUGCACAAAAGAAAGAGAGAAGGAGCACAACUGGGACAGGUGACCUGAACUGGCCAGGAUAUUCCACACCAUAGAAUGUCAUGGCCAGUCCCUUAACUGGGGGAGUUACACAACAGGGAUGAUUUGGGUUUGGGAAGGGGGGUGUACACAUAGUGAGCAGUUGUAUUGUGCAUCACUUGUGAUUUUUUCCUAUUAUUCGUGAUUAUUAUUAUUAUUAUUAUUAUUAUUAUUAUUAUUAUUAUUAUUAUUAUUAUUAUUAUUAUUAUUAUUAUUAUUAUUAUUAUUAUUAUUAUUAUUAUUAUUAUUAUUAUUGCUACUACCUAUUAUUAUUGUAUUUUGUUUUACUUCCAAUUAUUAACUUAUUCUUAUCUCAACAUGCAAGUUCUACUUCAGUUCUCCUCCACACUCCACCAGUGUGGGAAGGGGAAGAGAGGGAGCUAAGCAAGUGGCUGGGUGGUGUUUCAUCUCCAGCUGGGCUUAAAACCACAACACAAACCCCAGGAAAAAAAUCUAAGUGAGCAGCAAUUCUUCCUGUUCUAUACAGAACUUGAGGCCUUGUGCACAUCAGUGAAAUGUUCUCGAGAAACUCAAAAUUAGGAAGCUCUGUUGCUACGUAAUGUCUGUUUUUAAGACUCUUGAAAAAUUCUCUGAAGGGAUUUAAGGAAAGAGUCUGUGUUAGCUGGAAUGAAUGUGCUUAAAGCAGCUUUUCUGCAGACUUGGAGGGUGCCAAGGAAACAAAAGCAAUUAUAGCUAAGUUCCAUGGGAGAAGAAAGAGGGUGAUAUGUGGAUUUUAUGCUGUGAGAUGCUGGAUGCUGGUUUGUGCCUGGUCUUGAAAGGUAAAGGUAAAAAUCAAGUUAGGAGGAAGAGAAACUGAAAAGCAAAACUUUAUUUGCUUACUCAGAGAUAAAAUCUUCACCUUUUCACUUCUGCAUCUUUGACUAAAUCUCUUGCUGUACUAGGACAGAACUAAUAGUACCAAGUGGUGCCCAGGCUGGUGAGAGCUUGGGACAUGCUCUGCUGAGAGCUGGAACUGAGGUGAUGAGGGAAGUGUGUACUCCACUUGAGGCAGGUGUCUGCUGCAGGAGGUAAGGGGAAUUGACUACAGGAGUGAUGCUGACACGUAGAGUAAAAGAUCAUAAACCUCAUGUGGAUGCUGUCAUUCAGAGGUAAGGUAGCUCUUUUUGCUGGAGUCCGAUUUUCCAAAAGGUUAAAGCCUGUUUCAACUCUGACUGAGAGGCUUAAAUCUGAGUGACUGUGAGCAGACAAGCUCUUAGUUCUGAGUAACUAACUGUGGCCUUGGGCCAGUCAUCCUCGAAAUGUAUCUCACAAAGAAACUGUUUGGCUUUCGGGGGAGCAAAAUAAAUCAGAAAUAACAGUUCUCAAAAGUUCUGACUUUGGCUAGUAUAAUAACUUACCAGGCAGAGCUGAUAUAAAUAUGUGUCUCAGUCCUAAAAUACUGUUCUUCAUAUGCUCCAGUGCUCCCUGGCAUAAGGACAGUAUUGUAUGAAGAAUUAAAUGGGCAAGCUCUAAACAGCUACAGGAAUUGUUAUAAUGGCAUCAGUGUAGAAGGAGUUUAUUGUUAGAGUUGAAUAGUGGAGCUUGCUUCCUGGGCACUAACCUUUCUCCCUAUUAAUUCUUUGACAUGGAAGGAAUUAAUAAGAUUCCCAGAGAAUAGCUUCUGUACAUGGCUUGAGGAACUUAAUUAGUAUAAAAGAAACAGUAUUAUUCCUAAAGCUACUUCAUUACUGUUGGCUUUACAAUAGGACUUUUGCCUAAAAUGUCCCUGUCUCCUGAUCCAUUUCCUGCUAUAAACUCUGCAAGACAAUAGACAUUUCACAGAAGAUAUAUAGCC
This is a long non-coding RNA of Ficedula albicollis (Collared flycatcher), 2320 nucleotides long. Lineage: Eukaryota; Metazoa; Chordata; Aves; Passeriformes; Muscicapidae. The record is from Ensembl.